RNAcentral lists this long non-coding RNA (1511 nucleotides) under Salmo salar (Atlantic salmon). Its description in RNAcentral is "lncRNA (ENSSSAG00000100357.1)". Lineage: Eukaryota; Metazoa; Chordata; Actinopteri; Salmoniformes; Salmonidae. The record is from RNAcentral.
CACCAUGCUACAGUACUGGUAGUAGUGGUUACUGUAGACCUGUCUGUCUGACGCCAUGCCACAGCACUUGGCUGGCAAAAUUAAGCUUCAUUACAUAUUCACAAUGACAUCACACCUCCCCAGUGUCCUGGUUACACAGCCCUCACGUGAGAGACAAUUAACUAUUCUCGAUUUCACCUUUUAAAGUGUCAACAGUUUUACAUUUCAUGGUAAGUCCAGUGCUUAACUUGGACUGAAAUAGGUGGUGGUACUGUUUAUAUAUUUAGGUGCAGGUACUCCACAAUACCUUUGACCUGAUAAGAGGUUUCCGGAACUCCACAAUACUUUUGACCUGAUAAGAGGUUCCGGAACUCCACAAUACUUUUGACCUGAUAAGAGGUUUCCGGAACUCCACAAUACUUUUGACCUGAUAAGAGGUUCAGGAACUCCACAAUACUUUUGACCUGAUAAGAGGUUCCGGAACUCCACAAUACUUUUGACCUGAUAAGAGGUUUCCGGAACUCCACAAUACUUUUGACCUGAUAAGAGGUUCAGGAACUCAGUAGAACAUUUGAUGUGCUGGCCCGGGAACUCAGUUCCUGUGAGCUCCUGCCCAAGUCAAGCACUGGGUAGUCAGGUAAAUCAAUUAAAUUCAUCAAGGUAAGUCAUACAGUUCAAUCUGCAAUGACAUGAAGAAUGAGGCCACACUGUUCCAAGCCAACAGCUGGGUGUUGCUAGGGGCUCCCUCCCUCCUACAGCAUGUCAUUAUGCCAUGGUGUCUGGUGUAUGGCAGCCUCCCACAACACAAUGUGUUUGUUUCAUGUGACACUAUUACACUAUGACACACAGCAGGUCUAUAGUGGGGGGUGGACGGGCGUGGGAGUGGUGUUUGUGUGUGUGUGUGGGGGGGGAGUGAUAUAUGGUUCCUGUGUGAAGGGGUACCUGUCUCCCAUUAUGUAUCAGUGUGUAUGUCAUUAGAUGUCCAACGGGACGGAGACGGGGGACGGGUUGGGCAACCUAUACCUUAUAGUACACUUUGGUGAAAAGUAGGGCACUAUAUAGGGAAUAGGGUGCCUAUUUUUUCAAACCCCUUGAGAGAAUGGGAGAAAGUGGAUGGUGGUGGCUAUAUUCAUGUGAAAUACGUCCUAGUGACGCUCUAAACAGGACCAAGUCCAGAAAACAAGUCCUUUUAUAAACACCUCAAUAUGAUUUAGUAAUAAGAUGACGUGUUUUUGAUCAUGACGGCACACAGAGCUUCUGAUUUCAGCCAUGGGUUAAUGUGAUCCACGUGUUGUUGUAGUCAGUACUUCUAAACAUUACACUGGAUACAUCUGACUGGUUACAUCUGACUGGUUACAUCUGACUGGUUACAUCUGACUGGUUACAUCUGACUGGUUACAUCUGACUGGUUACAUCUGACUGGUUACAUCUGACUGGUUAUAGCUGACUGGUUACAUCUGACUGGUUACAUCUGACUGGUUAUAGCUGACUGGUUACAUCUGACUGGUUACAUCUGACUGGUUACAUCUGAC